RNAcentral lists this non-coding RNA (25 nucleotides) under Rattus norvegicus (Norway rat). The record is from RNAcentral. Lineage: Eukaryota; Metazoa; Chordata; Mammalia; Rodentia; Muridae.
UACAGUGCAUUGAGCUUUUGGUAAC